CGUCCGCUUCCACUACAAGGCUUUGGGAUGCCUAGUCUGUAGACUGGAGGAGCAUUAAUACUGACUCACGCAGAAAAGAUAUAGCUACAUAUUGGACUGGGGGAAGGGGUGGCAAAACCCUCUGCAAAUAGGAAGUGCCACAAGAGCACCGAGAUAAGGAUGAGGCCCUGCGUGAGCGCAGCCUUCGGGUUUUCCUUGGGCCGAUCAGCACCGACUCCCCCGCUCUCGGCGAGGCGCCUCCAGCUCCCGGGAAUGAGAAAUGUGCCCGCCGCAGCAGGGGCCCACAGGAAUGAAGGGCCCCGGCGCUGCGUAGGCCCAACAGUUCCCCGCGCUCUCGCCCCCGGCCCAGCCCCGCCUUUCUUCCCCCGCCUCGGCAGAAUGGACUCACCAGGGGGCGAAGAACUCGACGAGCAUGAGGCCCGCAGAGCCCGUGUCGGAGAUGCGACUCUCGAAGUUGUCGUCCGUGAGUUCUAGCACGUCGGAGGCAGCGGCGAGGCGGGCCGCGGCAAGAAGCAGCGCCACACCCGGGAACAGCGCUAGGCGGCGGAGGCGCAUGGCGGCGAGACAUGGCCGCUUACCAACAAGAAGGGCAGAUGCAGCUUCCCCGAGCUGAUGCCAUUCGUUCACGUCUCAUCGAUACUUUCUCUCUCAUCGAGCAUUUGCAAGGCUUGAGCCAAGCUGUGCUGCGACACACUAUCAGGAGUUACUUGAUCCUUCCCGCCAGAAGAAACUUAUGUUGGGAGAUCAACACCAGCUAGUGGGCGUCUCUAUAAAGCCUCAACGUAUAGAACAGAUUUCACAUGCCCAGAGGCUGUUGAGCAGGCUUCAUGUGCGCUGCAGUCAGAGGCCACCUCUUUCUUUGUGGGCCGGAUGGGUCCUUGAGUGUAUCCUUUCAUGUCACUCAUUUUUAUCCUGGCUGUUGAUCAUCUGCCUAAUGACUUAUUUUUUGCUUCCCAAACUCCAUUGUCUCAUUCUCACUGCUUAUGUUAUUGCUCUUAUUAUUUCAGCUGCAUAAAUCAGAAAGAACUCCACUCUGUAUGUUUCCUUAAGAGACAACAGGUCCUCUCUUCAAAAACUUCAUCAUCUUCCUGAUCUUUUUGAAUACGAUCGUACUGAUGGUUGAAAUACGUGAGAACUGACAUUGUAUGAAAGAGGAAGUGAGGCCAGGCGCGGCGGCUCACACGUGUAAUCCUAGCACUGUGGGAGGCCGAGGCAGGCGGAUUGCCAAAGCUCAGGAGUUCAAGACCAGCCUGGGCAACAUGGUGAAACCCUGUUUCUACUAAAAAAUACAAAAAAUUAGCUGGGCGUGGUGGCAUGGCCUGUAGUCCCAGCUACUCGGGAGGCUGAGGCAGGAGAAUCGCUUGAACCCAGGAGGCGUAGGUUUCAGUGAGCUGAGAUUGUGCCACUGCAUUUCAGCCUGGGCGACAGAGUACAACUCUGUCUCAAAAAAAAAAAAAAAAGAAAAA
Molecule: long non-coding RNA, 1466 nt
Filed under: Homo sapiens (human)
Lineage: Eukaryota; Metazoa; Chordata; Mammalia; Primates; Hominidae
Description: non-protein coding lnc-ELL3-1:2
Source: RNAcentral